Molecule: ribosomal RNA, 460 nt
Filed under: uncultured bacterium
Lineage: Bacteria
Description: partial 16S ribosomal RNA
Rfam family: Bacterial small subunit ribosomal RNA
Source: RNAcentral
CCUACGGGUGGCAGCAGUGAGGAAUAUUGGUCAAUGGACGAGAGUCUGAACCAGCCAAGUAGCGUGAAGGAUGACUGCCCUAUGGGUUGUAAACUUCUUUUAUAUGGGAAUAAAAUGUUCCACGUGUGGGAUUUUGUAUGUACCAUAUGAAUAAGGAUCGGCUAACUCCGUGCCAGCAGCCGCGGUAAUACGGAGGUUCCGAGCGUUAUCCGGAUUUAUUGGGUUUAAAGGGAGCGUAGGUGGAUUGUUAAGUCAGUUGUGAAAGUUUGCGGCUCAACCGUAAAAUUGCAGUUGAAACUGGCAGUCUUGAGUACAGUAGAGGUGGGCGGAAUUCGUGGUGUAGCGGUGAAAUGCUUAGAUAUCACGAAGAACUCCGAUUGCGAAGGCAGUUCACUGGACUGCAACUGACACUGAGGCUCGAAAGUGUGGGUAUCAAACAGGAUUAGAUACCCUUGUAGUC